CCUAAAAAUAGCCCAUGAUGUCACCCCAAGGCCUUCCCAUUGGCUUGCGUCGCUCUCAGGGGGGCGGGCCCGCCCGUCGCUAUGGAGACCCCACCCUAGAAGNNNNNNNNNNNNNNNNNNNNNNNNNNNNNNNNNNNNNNNNNNNNNNNNNNGUGGGCUGACGUCUUGGGGUUUGACUGUCCUGUGACGGUGGCCGCGGCGACCUGGAGGACUGGAGCUGACGCUCGCAACUUCAGACAGAGGCGGGCUCAAAUUCAGGGCUUACGACCGGGAUGCAAGGGAUACGGAGACCCGGAAGGCUGGGGAACCGGGCCAGUUGUCUGGGCCGAGAACGUGGGGGCGGUAGUAUUUCUCCCCUUUGUGGGGAUCGAAGUCACCCACGGGCAUUUCUCCACAGCGCGGGACCCGGAGGCUGAGAGCUCGGAUUUGUACCCCCCCCCCCCCCCCCCCCCCGCGCGCUUCCGGGGAGCCGGAACGCCGCCCUUAAGUAGUUCUCUUAAGCCUCCUGUGGGGGCGAGUGAAAGUGCGCUUACGGUUAGGGGCGGUGUCGGGGAGUGGACCCCCCACAGUGAGAACGCUUCGAGUUUAUUUCUUGGUCAAGUUCGGGAGCAACCGUUGGAGCCGCUAUCUGGCUGUGCCUAGAGCCGAGUGAUUUGCAUUGCUCGAAACCCGGCACUCCGCUAAGUCCCCGCUGCGCCCCAUUUCAUUCUCCCGCACCAUGAGGGAGAGGGUGCGGGGGGGGGUUGCAGUUUUGCCUUGGUGGGAAGGUUUUUAUGUGAGGUAGUAGGAGCGAACUCAGCGUCCAAUUGGGAAUGAGCGUUUAUUUAGAGACUCCGAAACUCGGGAACCCCGGGAUCGCCUCCUCCACCCCACCCCCCACCCCAUACACCACUCCCGCCCUGAUUUGCUUCCGGGAAGACAAGUCCCGAGAACAGCAGACACGCCAAAAGUCACGCAGCGAAUUAGGGGUAGAAUCAGGAUUUAAAAUCUCUGCUGCUCGCCGGGUGAUGGGCCCAUGUCCUGUGCAGCCUCUAGGAAGCGCUAGACACAUGGAAAAAGAAAUGGGCUACUCCAGCUCUAGGUGCCAGCACUGUUUGUGUUUCCUUGGACACUCCACCCGCUUGCCAGUUGAACACUGGCCUGGUUUGGGCUUUUCUGAGAUGACAGUGAUGAUGACGAUGACGAUGACAACGAUGAGUUAAUAAAGAUUCCUAUCAAGCAGAGGCCGUCUCUUACUGACUUCCCCGGCAGCGACAUUCCCCUGACUGCCUGCGCCAGCGUUUCAUCCAUACAUCCUUACAAAGCCAGUCUCCAAAGGCUGCUUUUGUGUAAAUAAAGCCGAGGACUUCUGCCUGCAGGUCACCACCCUUCUGGCCUGCAGCGCUGGGUGGAUCCGCCUGGCAGGAGCUGGUGCGAACAGCGCUCUGCCUGCCUCUGGCCCCUGGGAGCCAGUCCCAACCUAGCCCUUGCGCAGGGCGGAGAGUUCAGGGACUAAAAGGAGGAGGAAAACCCAGACUAGGAUCGCCAGGGUUCUCACCCAUUGGCAUCCUCAUUCAUCGCACCCAACACAUGGCAGGCCCUUGCCAAGCAGCAUGCCCAGUCCUCUCAGCAACCCUGCAAGGAGCAGUCUCUAUUUUAUGGAAGGGAGUGGAGGCGGCAAGUUUGAACAGCUUGACCAAGGUCGCACAGGCAAAAAGUGAUGUCGGGUUGCAAAGCCCACUCCAUCUGUCAUCAGUCAGAAAGUAAAUACCUUAACUGGAAAGAAUUUAAAAAAAUUCACGCCGAAUGCAGAUUAACAAGACCUAUGAGCUGAACGGGCCAUUCCAGGGCUCGCUUGAGUGCUCAGAAACGGGACUAGCAACCACAGGACAAAUCACAGGAUAUUUUUCCUGGAUGGCAAUUUUACCCCUUUUAAAUUAAAUCGGAUAGGCCCUUAUUAAAACAAAUGGUGAUGCUCAUCAUUAUUUUAGUUGAAAAUAAGAGACUUCAAGGAAAUCUCAGGCCGUUUCCUAAAUCCACCCCCUCUCCCAAUCGCGCAGAAGCACCGUUCCACUCGUUACAUCGGUGGGCAAACUGAGGCCAAUCGAGUCCUACGGAAUGAGGCAGAUUUCCCGACUCCCGGCCUCCGGUGCUUUCCGCUGGAGCCUGGGGUCCUGGUGGCAGACAGGCUUCCUCAGGCAGCUACUGCUGAUUUUUGUCGCUCGGCCAACCAGGUGGAGGCGAUUCGGAGUAAUCUUAGCAGGCGAGGAGCGCGGUCCCGGCUGAAAGCGAAAGGGGCGGCCGGCGGCCGGCUGGCGAGCGUGGCGGGCGGGCGCGGAGCCCCCG
RNAcentral lists this long non-coding RNA (2325 nucleotides) under Dasypus novemcinctus (nine-banded armadillo). RNAcentral's name for it is "lncRNA (ENSDNOG00000050260.1)". Lineage: Eukaryota; Metazoa; Chordata; Mammalia; Cingulata; Dasypodidae. The record is from RNAcentral.